UAAGCAUAUCAAUAAGCGGAGGAAAAGAAACCAACAGGGAUUGCCCCAGUAACGGCGAGUGAAGCGGCAACAGCUCAAAUUUGAAAUCUGGCCCCCAGGGCCCGAGUUGUAAUUUGCAGAGGAUGCUUUUGGCGCAGCGCCUUCCGAGUUCCCUGGAACGGGACGCCAUAGAGGGUGAGAGCCCCGUCUGGUCGGACGCUAAGCCAGUGUAAAGCUCCUUCGACGAGUCGAGUAGUUUGGGAAUGCUGCUCUAAAUGGGAGGUAUAUGUCUUCUAAAGCUAAAUACCGGCCAGAGACCGAUAGCGCACAAGUAGAGUGAUCGAAAGAUGAAAAGCACUUUGAAAAGAGGGUUAAACAGUACGUGAAAUUGUUGAAAGGGAAGCGUUCGUGACCAGACUUGGGCCCGGCGAAUCAUCCAGCGUUCUCGCUGGUGCACUUUGUCGGGCUCAGGCCAGCAUCAGUUCGCUACGGGGGACAAAAGUUUCGGGAACGUGGCUCCCUCGGGAGUGUUAUAGCCCGUUGCAUAAUGCCCUGUAGCGGACUGAGGUUCGCGCUCCGCAAGGAUGCUGGCGUAAUGGUCAUCAGCGACCCGUCUUGAAACACGGACCAAGGAGUCGUCUUCGUAUGCGAGUGUUCGGGUGUCAAACCCCUACGCGUAAUGAAAGUGAACGCAGGUGAGAGCUUCGGCGCAUCAUCGACCGAUCCUGAUGUUCUCGGAUGGAUUUGAGUAAGAGCAUACGGGGCCGGACCCGAAAGAAGGUGAACUAUGCCUGUAUAGGGUGAAGCCAGAGGAAACUCUGGUGGAGGCUCGCAGCGGUUCUGACGUGCAAAUCGAUCGUCAAAUAUGGGCAUGGGGGCGAAAGACUAAUCGAACCUUCUAGUAGCUGGUUUCCGCCGAAGU
This 901-nucleotide ribosomal RNA is filed under the name Tolypocladium sp. RNAcentral describes it as "partial large subunit ribosomal RNA". It matches the Rfam family "Eukaryotic large subunit ribosomal RNA", at positions 35 to 967 of the family's 3401-position model. The record is from RNAcentral. Lineage: Eukaryota; Fungi; Ascomycota; Sordariomycetes; Hypocreales; Ophiocordycipitaceae.